AUGGUUCGCGCACGCCGCGUGCAGGAGAGCAGCACGGUUCGCUCAUGCCGCGUGCAGGAGCGUGGCAUGGUUUGCACGUGCCGCAUGGAGGAGAGCGGCACAGUCUGCUCACGCCAUGUGCAGGAGAGCAGCACGGUUCACACAUGCCAGGUGCAGGAGUGUGGCAUGGUUUGCUCACACCACGUGCAGGAGUGUGGUAUGGUCUGCACAUGCCGUGUGCAGGAGAGCAGCACGGUUCGCUCACACCACAUGCAGGUGCAUGGCACGGUUCGCUCAUGCCGCGUGCAGGAGCGUGGCAUGGUUUGCACGUGCCACAUGGAGGAGAGCGGCGCAGUUUGCUCACGCCGUGUGCAGGAGAGCAGCAUGGUUCACACAUGCCAGGUGCAAGAGUGUGGCAUGGUUUGCUCACGCCACAUGCAGGAGUGUGGUAUGGUCUGCACAUGCCGUGUGCAGGAGAGCAGCACAGUUUGCUCACACCGCGUGCAGGAGUGUGGCAUCGUUUGCACACACCGUGUGCAGGAGUGCUGCAUGGUUCGCACACGCUGCGUGCAGAGCAGCAUGGUUCGCUCACGCCACAUGCAGGCGCGUGGCAUCGUUUGCACAUGCCACAUGCAGGAGCGCUGCAUGGUUUGCACACGCUGCGUGCAGAGCAGCACGGUUCGCACAUGCCGCGUGGCCAGCAGGCUUCUCGCAAGGCCCCGCUCCUGGCUCGGGGCCGGCGCUCAGUCAUCACUUCUGGGCAAGCACACGGAGCUCCUUAAGGAAGCCCCGGCUGUCGUGAGCUCCUCUUGGACCAUCCACGGCCGCAGCGCCCAGCACGGCCCCAGCACCGGUGCCCGCACAGCAACCGCGGGAAGCGAUCCUGCGUCGCAYGCGGAGUCCUGCCGAGGCUUCCUGGCUGCGGGGCAAGUCGGACGGGGCGGCUCCCGCCAGCCCCCACAUCCCCAAGGCGCCGGGGUGCGCAGCAGGUCCGAAAUGGGGAGGGAAGGGGUUGCAGGAGGAAGCACUGUGUCGCGGCCCUCGCACCGUGCCAACAGCGUCUCCCUGGCACCCGCGCACACCCCCGGGUGUCUGUCCUUGCCGGGGGCCCUUUCCGUGCCCCYGCUUCCGUGA
Molecule: long non-coding RNA, 1113 nt
Filed under: Apteryx haastii (Great spotted kiwi)
Lineage: Eukaryota; Metazoa; Chordata; Aves; Apterygiformes; Apterygidae
Description: lncRNA (ENSAHAG00000010084.1)
Source: RNAcentral